CCUGAUAGCUCAGUUGGUAAAGAAUCUACCUGCAAUGCAGGAGACCCAGGUUCAAUUCCUGGGUCAGGA
This 69-nucleotide transfer RNA is filed under the name Ovis aries (sheep). It matches the Rfam family "tRNA". Rfam says of the family: Transfer RNA (tRNA) molecules are approximately 80 nucleotides in length. Their secondary structure includes four short double-helical elements and three loops (D, anti-codon, and T loops). Lineage: Eukaryota; Metazoa; Chordata; Mammalia; Artiodactyla; Bovidae. The record is from Rfam by way of RNAcentral.